GGAAUUGCUAGUAAUGGCAGGUCAGCAUACUGCCGUGAAUACGUUCCCGGGCCUUGUACACACCGCCCGUCACACCAUGAGAGUUGGGAAUACCCGAAGCCUGUGAGCUAACUUAUAGAGGCAGCAGUCGAAGGUAGAAUCAAUGAUUGGGGUGAAGUCGUAACAAGGUAAC
Molecule: ribosomal RNA, 172 nt
Filed under: uncultured bacterium
Lineage: Bacteria
Description: partial 16S ribosomal RNA
Rfam family: Bacterial small subunit ribosomal RNA
Source: RNAcentral